GGCACGAUCCCCGAUUCCGACUGCAUGGCUCCAGCUUCCCGUCCUCGCACUGUUCCAAAGUGACUGGAAUAUGGACUUCCCUGUAGCUCAAAUGAUAAAGAAUCUGCCUGCAAUGCAGGAGA
RNAcentral lists this long non-coding RNA (122 nucleotides) under Capra hircus (goat). RNAcentral's name for it is "lncRNA (ENSCHIG00010029970.1)". Lineage: Eukaryota; Metazoa; Chordata; Mammalia; Artiodactyla; Bovidae. The record is from RNAcentral.